Molecule: ribosomal RNA, 418 nt
Filed under: Kriegeriales sp.
Lineage: Eukaryota; Fungi; Basidiomycota; Microbotryomycetes; Kriegeriales
Description: partial large subunit ribosomal RNA
Rfam family: Eukaryotic large subunit ribosomal RNA
Source: RNAcentral
AUCUCGAGAAGUGUUUUCCGCGCCGGACCGCAUACAAGUCUGUUGGAAUACAGCGUCAUAGUGGUGAGAGCCCCGUAACUGAUGCGGAUGCCCGGUGCUUUGUGAUACACUUUCGAAGAGUCGAGUUGUUUGGGAAUGCAGCUCAAAUUGGGUGGUAAAUUCCAUCUAAAGCUAAAUAUUGGCGAGAGACCGAUAGCGAACAAGUACCGUGAGGGAAAGAUGAAAAGCACUUUGGAAAGAGAGUUAACAGUACGUGAAAUUGUUGGAAGGGAAACGCUUGAAGUCAGACUUGCUAUUCGGAAUUCAGCCGCAAGGUGUACUUUUCGAUUUGCAGGCCAGCAUCAGUUUUUGGGGGUGGAAAAGGGCGAGAGGAAGGUAGCAACCCCGGUUGUGUUAUAGCCUCUCGCUGGAUUCAUCC